Molecule: transfer RNA, 89 nt
Filed under: Schizothecium vesticola
Lineage: Eukaryota; Fungi; Ascomycota; Sordariomycetes; Sordariales; Schizotheciaceae
Rfam family: tRNA
About the family: Transfer RNA (tRNA) molecules are approximately 80 nucleotides in length. Their secondary structure includes four short double-helical elements and three loops (D, anti-codon, and T loops). Further hydrogen bonds mediate the characteristic L-shaped molecular structure. tRNAs have two regions of fundamental functional importance: the anti-codon, which is responsible for specific mRNA codon recognition, and the 3' end, to which the tRNAs corresponding amino acid is attached (by aminoacyl-tRNA synthetases). tRNAs cope with the degeneracy of the genetic code in two manners: having more than one tRNA (with a specific anti-codon) for a particular amino acid; and 'wobble' base-pairing, i.e. permitting non-standard base-pairing at the 3rd anti-codon position.
Source: Rfam by way of RNAcentral
GGGAUAAUAGUAUAGUGGUCAGUACUUCUCGUUGUGGACUUUGCUCUUACAGCGCCGAGAGGACCCAGGUUCGAUUCCUGGUUAUCCCA